UUGGAGGGCAAGUCUGGUGCCAGCAGCCGCGGUAAUUCCAGCUCCAAUAGCGUAUAUUAAAGUUGUUGCAGUUAAAAAGUCUCGUAGUUGAAUUUCGGGACUAGUACGUUGGUCGUGCCUUAGGUACGUACUGGUGUUACUGGUUCCUACCUUCUGACGAACCAUUAUGUCAUUAAUUUGGUGUGGUGGGGAAUCAGGACUGUUACUUUGAAAAAAUUAGAGUGUUUAAAGCAGGCUCGCGCUUGAAUACAUUAGCAUGGAAUAAUGAAAUAGGACGUUG
This 280-nucleotide ribosomal RNA is filed under the name uncultured Glomus. RNAcentral's name for it is "partial 18S ribosomal RNA". It matches the Rfam family "Eukaryotic small subunit ribosomal RNA", at positions 548 to 832 of the family's 1831-position model. The record is from RNAcentral. Lineage: Eukaryota; Fungi; Glomeromycota; Glomeromycetes; Glomerales; Glomeraceae.